This is a long non-coding RNA of Puntigrus tetrazona (Sumatra barb), 5637 nucleotides long. RefSeq lists it as uncharacterized. The transcript has 3 exons. The record is from RefSeq and is a predicted model, not a curated record. NCBI's taxonomy places the organism in Eukaryota, Metazoa, Chordata, Actinopteri, Cypriniformes, Cyprinidae.
CGAAGUCCUACCUGAGUCUCCGCCAGGCACGGCGCGCGGAGCAGAGGCGACGUACGCCGCCAAAACACACGCCGCCGUCGCUCCCGUCAGCGUCCACGUCAGCCUCUCCGACGACAUUUCAGACGUCUUCUAAGUUAAUCUGGGCAAUUCUUGGUGCGUCUUAAUUCUGCAUCAAUCUGUAACGGGUAAAUCUGCACUUCUGGAAGUUCAGGGGUUUGUUUUACUGUUUAAAUGCAAGUGGAAAGUACCUGCGGCCAGCGCAGAGAAGACACCAGAAAGCCACAGCAUUUUAAGAGCGAAGCCAUCGCGCUAAAGGGUAACACAUCACAUAUUGACAUCUGCGCAUAAAUUCAAUCACUCAGUGCAUCAGUGAAAACUGGAUUAGGUUUUCCUAAAUCGCAGAUAAAUCCGCCACUCAUUGCAAUAUGUUCCAGCUCCAGCCUGUUGCUUACUAUCUGCUUACUUACUGUACACUGACAGUCUGUUUUAAUCUAAACCCAAGAGCCUAGCAAACAAGUGGAUUUUCAAUAAAGCCCUUUAAAAUCUGUAGAGAAAAAUCCCAUGAUCCUCUGUGUUAGCUACACAAAUAUGCACAGCAAUGAAAGGAUUCAGUCUGAAACAGAUUAAUUGCAGUGGUAAAUGCAAUACGUCCCUCAUGUAGUGUGUACUGUGUAUUACUGCACCCCAUUUUAUUAACAUACAGCUCUAUCAGACAAGCUUUUUACAAUCUCUGAGACAAGCAUGUAAUGAUAUACAGUUCAUUGGGAUCUCGGCUUUUUUGAAAGCCAACACGAAACAAAAAAGGCGAUCCUUGCGCACAUCAGCCGACUAUUCAAGGUGCAUUUAGACCACCUUUGUCUCCUGUUUACCUCCUUGUGGUUUACAAAGCACUCCAAUUAAAAUCCCAGAGAUUAGGACAGUUGUGAUUAAUAUUCGUCGGCGGGGCCUGGAGUACGAGGCACAACAAAAGCGAGGGUUGCUUGGAAUUGCCUUGAGCAGAACACCUAAUGGCGGCCAAUUAAAAUAAGAGGAUUCAAUUUGGCCAAAGCAACAGGAACCUACAGAUAAUGCAUGUAUCUAAAAUUGCAGCAGAUGCCACACUCUUGAUUCUGCUUCUAUCAUGUUUGUUAUGGCAUUUUCGCAAAUGACCUGCAGCCGAUUGCAACAAACCCUUUAAUAAACCCUAUAGGGGAAAAAAAAAAACUUACCCAAACUUUCCCAAUUAAAAUAAAAGUGCAUUGUGAAAAUAUAUGCAAUUUAGAGAUGACACUUUAUUUUAUGGUUUCUUAACUAGUUGCUUAUUAACAUGCAUAUUACUAGAAUAAUAGCCAUUUACGAGUAGUAAUUGAGCACAUAUUAAUGCCUUAUUCUACAUCCCUAAUCCUACUCAAUACCUAAACUUAACUAACUUCUAAAUUGUUUAAAGUUUUUUGUUGUUUUUUGUUGUUAAUGCUUUUACAGAAUAUAAUACUAAUUAUUUCAUCUCAUUAUUGCUGCUUGAAUUAAAAUGACAAAAUAAAUGUGCUAUAAACAGUACUUCUUUUUGUUUUAAGAAAUUAAAAGUAAAAAAGUAUAAAAGUAAAAACAUUUAUAAUGUUUCAAAAAUUCCUGUUUUAGAUAAACGCUGUUCUUUUGCCACAAAAAAUUAUCAACAUAACCGUUUCCAACAUAUAUAAUAAUCAGAAAUGUUUCUUAUGCACUAAAUUAGCAUAUUAGAAUGAUGUCUGAAGUAUCAUGUGACCUGUGAAAAUUCAGCUUUUCGUCAUAGGAGUAAAUUAUAUUUUUCAAUAAAAACGGUUAUUUCCAAAAUUCCAGUAUUACAGUUUUCGAUGUAUUUUUAAAGAAAUAAACGCAACCUUAAUGAACAUGAAAAAUGCUUAACAGAUUUAUUAGUUGCUGUAAAAAUAGUGUAUGAUUUCUAAAAUAGUGCCUCCCGGUAUAUCACUGACUGAGUUAUAACUAAUAUGGAUGUAAUGCAACCCAAGCAAAAAAGAUGAAGCUAAAUAAAGUGGCUAUGACUUCAGGAAAAGAAUCAAACACUAAAAAGGUUUGAGCUGUGUUACAGAGACGCGUAGUGGAGAGAGUGCCAGGUUGGAGCCGUGUGUGUGUGUGUGUGUGUGUGUGUGUGUGUGUGUGAGAGAGGCUGAAGAUGUUCACGAGGGAGAGUGAGGCAGCACAUCACAGCAUGGGCUCGAUGUGGGAGCAAUCCAGUUACUUAAACUGAUCAAGAUUUAAUUAACACAACGCUCGGCAAUUACUCUGUAAUUAAAGUCAUUUGUCCUCUUGUGGAGCUGAGAGUGCCACUGCUGCCAUAGAGCUGCAAAUUAGAGAGGGGAAGCGAGGAGGGGGAUGACGAGGGACUCAGGGCUGCGGAUGUGUUUGUGUUUCAGCCCCAGCCCAUAAAUACACUGGCAUUCUCACUAACCGCUUGUUUCGUCACUGGACUAGAAAGAAAAGAAAACUUUUAAAUAUAUGUCAAUUCUAAAUACGGGUUCGCAGAAGAUUCGAAUUGGCAUUGUUGAGAGAAAAAAUGGAAAACAUGCUUGGUCAGUAUGUUAUUAAGGAUAUCAGGCGCUUAUACUACAUAUAAAAUAUUGCUAACACUUUAGUUUAUGGAUCAGUUCUCACUACUAACUAGUUGCUUAUUAGCAUGCAUAUCACUAGCAUCUUGGUUUACUGUUUAGUACUUAUAAUAAUGCACAUAUUACAAUAACCUUAUUAAGCAUAUUUCAGAUCCCUGACCCAAUACCCGAACUGCAUUACUUACAAAUUAGGAGUUUACUGAGGCAUAGUUAACAGUGAGAAUCGUUCGCUAAACUAGCGUUACCAAAAUACUUGCUUUAGUUGAAUUAUAUUUUUAAAUGAAUUAUAUUUAGUUGAAUUAUAUUAGUUCUUCUGGGUUCGGCCUGUCUCAGUUUGUCCUGCUUCUUCGAGUCAUUCCAGACAAACCAGAUAAUGACCAGAUCAGUUUAAAAUAUUAAACAGUCCAAUUGCUCUAUUUUAUAAGAUGUUUGCAUAACACAGAUAAUAACACGGCUAUAACGGAGAAAGCAACUUUUGGGCGCGCUCACAGCUGACGUGACAACGAGCUCAUACCUUCGGUGAAGAUUAAUUUUUUUUUGGGAUAACCUGGAACAGCUUCUGUGACAGACGAACACACCGUUAUUGUGCGCAGACCUCUAAUCUGACGUCACGUACACUAAAAAGGGGUUUUCACCGAAAACGGCGGCGCACGCGACUUCCGCGCCUUCGGCUCGUGAACAAUCCCGGAUGACAACAGAAGACAAACCGAGACGCCUCGCGCCGUUCUUUCGCGCCGAGGCAGAGAUUACGCGUUAAAACGCUGUUAAAGAAAACCCUUCAAAAGCGUCAAGCGCUCUCAGAGGUGAGGACGCUGAACGCGGACCGAAGCCUUCAGACGGUAGCCACGAGCGCAACUCCGCUCACGGGCCGUAGAUAAUUAAUGGGACGUUUUCAGCGGCAAACAGUGACUAAUUGCGCUAGACAGAAAUAGCGAGGAAUUAAUAACAUGCAUCCAACACUUGCCACGAUCCCCUACCGCUUCAAUUUGCCGGGAGAUUAAAAACGACUGCCAAGUUUACUAAAUUAGGAGCGCGGGGGAAACGAACGCGCGCCUUGUUGUGUUCGCGCGCGCGCGCGUACUAUCUCUUAUUUACAGGCGAUGAUCUGCAUAUCAUCUCUCGGGGUCUCACGCUGGGGGGAAGAGGUACACAUCAAGUGCACCAAGCCCGCCGAAUGUAGGUGUCCUAUUGAUAAUUUGGCGUCCGGCCUCCGGCCACCUGUGGCACACAUCGCCUUGCCAGUUCACCGGGUCGCUGGACAGGGAAAACGGAGAGACGAGCACGGUUAGACCUGUUUCCCCCUGCAGGAGUAAUCGAGUUUAGCAGUCGACACCUUCCUAGCCCUCAAAAACCUCCUGAAGGAAUGCUAUUGACAUCUGUCAUCAUUUGGAAGCUAAUGGGAUCAAACGAGCUUCCUGCUGCAAUGAAAUAAUAAACGGAAAAGCGGGAUUUCGGUUUAUCCAGGAGGAUCAUAUUCGAUUCUGAGAGGAUUCUUGUUUCAUCCCAUUUAGGAUUGGUUCCAAAUUAUGAUAGAAAUUUCAUUAGCAUUCCCUCAGGAUAUUUUGCUGCUCCACAAAAGACCUCAUGCGGUCAGGGCUGAUCAUGUAGUGUAUCCAAAAGGACAUCAGAUGAAGAAAAGAGGAAAAAACGCGCCGUGCAUUCUUUUUAUUCAUCAUUUUGGUUUUAAUAAGCUUUCAUUUGUGAAACUGGGACCUUUUAAAAAUUAGGUUCAUCGUGAAGCUGAACAAAUAAGCUUUGCAAUGAUGUAUGGUUUGUUAGUAUAUAGGACAAUAUUUGGAUGAGAUGCAACUAAAAUCUGGAAUCUAAGGGUGCAAAAAAUCGAAAUAUUGAGAAAUCGGCCUUUAGAGAUGUUCAAUUUAAGUUCUUAGCGAGGCACAUUACUAAUCCAAAAAUACAUUUUGAUAUAUUUACGGUAGGAAAUUGACAAAAUACCUUCAUGGAACAUCUUUCCUAAUAAUUUUUGGGUUAAACGAAAAAUCUAAAAUAUUUAAUAAAAUCUAUUUUUGGCUUUUGUUAUAAAUAUACCCAUGCUACUCAUGACUGGUUUUGCGGUCCAGGGUUUUCAAAAGUUACAUUUAAUAUCAUUAAAAAAGUAAAAAUAAAAGUAUAUAAAUAUAAAUAUGUAUUUUUUUAAAGUACAUAACAAUGAAUUAAUAAAUGCGUUUAAAGUGUCACACCACACGACAUUUUAUAAUCCAGCCAUAUCAUAAAAAUAUAUUGUCUGAUAUUUCUAAGAGUUAAUGACCUUGAAGGUCAAUUAUAUAAUUUCCAUAUUCUAAAUAUCGGUUGUACCACUUGACUUUGUUGGUUAUGCAACACACAAGGACUAUAUGGCAUAUCAUAAACAAUUGAACGUUUCUAAUAUAUCCCAUAAUAUCAUUGUAUAUUGUAUGAUAAAGUGAUAAAAGAGCUGCAUUCAAGUGAUUGAUUUUUUUUUUUUAACCAGUUACAAAAGGGGACCUGAAAAAAAGCUCUCAAUGAGAUCAGUCAAAAUGAUAAAGGUGCAUUACAUAUACAUAUACAUAGAUAUUUAAUACAAGAUCGCUGCGCAGUAAUUACGACUUUUGAAAAAGCAUGAAACAGAUUGAUAAAGAAAGCUAAUAUGGUCUGGAAGUCACCUAUCUAAAGGACUCAGCACUCCAUAUUUUGGUUUGAUGUCACAAUCUUGACACCGCUGAUCGGGGAGACAUGUCUCGAUUUUCUGCGGCUUUGAUCCUUCAACAGUUGACUGUCUGAGCUGGCAGGCAUCCUGAAGGAGACAGCUAGCGGGCGGCAAAUAAAAAGACAUUCUCUCCUUCUCUCCCCCGAGCGCGAUCGCGCAGUGCGCCCUGGCUAAGCCUUCCGUAUCGCGUCCCGGGCGGUUCUGCCGGAUGCGCAGAUCUCACGGGAGAAACCAUCACCGAAUCGCCGCAAUUAAAAGCCUCAAUCUUAUUUUCGUAACUCGAACGAGGAGAGGACCGAGCGCACGCACGCAGGCGCGCGCGCGCCGUUUGUGACGGGCGUCCUCCGCGCAGCGAGGUGGCCUUUUCAGGCG